UACAGGGGGAGCAAGCGUUGUUCGGAUUUACUGGGCGUAAAGGGCGCGUAGGCGGCCACCGCAAGUCGACUGUGAAAUCUCCGGGCUUAACCCGGAAAGGUCAGCCGAUACUGCGGGGCUAGAGUGCAGAAGGGGCAACUGGAAUUCUCGGUGUAGCGGUGAAAUGCGUAGAUAUCGAGAGGAACACCUGCGGCGAAGGCGGGUUGCUGGGCUGACACUGACGCUGAGGCGCGAAAGCUAGGGGAGCGAACGGG
This 254-nucleotide ribosomal RNA is filed under the name uncultured bacterium. RNAcentral describes it as "partial 16S ribosomal RNA". It matches the Rfam family "Bacterial small subunit ribosomal RNA", at positions 524 to 776 of the family's 1533-position model. The record is from RNAcentral.